Molecule: long non-coding RNA, 285 nt
Organism: Perca flavescens (yellow perch)
Lineage: Eukaryota; Metazoa; Chordata; Actinopteri; Perciformes; Percidae
Exons: 3
Source: RefSeq, a predicted model, not a curated record
CGCUCUCCGGUUGUCACGGUAAGGAUUCAGCUCAUCUUUUAAUCGUAAUCAGAGACAUGUGGAAGCUGAUUGGACGAUUGAAGGCCAAUAAAAACCUUCGGUCUCUCUGCGGCUUCUCCUCGUCAUGGCAACCAAAUGGGCCUCCACGAAAUGGGAGGCGGUGAAGGAGCGCAUGACAGGAAGUCCCGGCAACGACCCGGACGCCUCGCUGGAGGCCAAUCUGGAGAACGCUGACCCCGAGCUCUGCAUCAGACUCCUGCAGCGACAUGGAUAGAGUCUACCCCA